UACGUAGGGUGCAAGCGUUAAUCGGAAUUACUGGGCGUAAAGCGUGCGCAGGCGGUUUUGUAAGUCUGUCGUGAAAUCCCCGGGCUCAACCUGGGAAUUGCGAUGGAGACUGCAAGGCUAGAAUCUGGCAGAGGGGGGUAGAAUUCCAGGUGUAGGAGUGAAAUCCGUAGAUAUCUGGAGGAAUACCGGAGGCGAAGGCGGCCAACUGGGAAUGCAUUGACACUGAGGUGCGAAAGCGUGGGGAGCAAACAGG
Molecule: ribosomal RNA, 253 nt
Filed under: uncultured bacterium
Lineage: Bacteria
Description: partial 16S ribosomal RNA
Rfam family: Bacterial small subunit ribosomal RNA
Source: RNAcentral